AGUGAACGCUGGCGGUAGGCCUAACACAUGCAAGUCGAACGGCAGCACAGUAAGAGCUUGCUCUUACGGGUGGCGAGUGGCGGACGGGUGAGGAAUACAUCGGAAUCUACUUUUUCGUGGGGGAUAACGUAGGGAAACUUACGCUAAUACCGCAUACGACCUACGGGUGAAAGCAGGGGAUCUUCGGGCCUUGCGCGAUUGAAUGAGCCGAUGUCGGAUUAGCUAGUUGGCGGGGUAAAGGCCCACCAAGGCGACGAUCCGUAGCUGGUCUGAGAGGAUGAUCAGCCACACUGGAACUGAGACACGGUCCAGACUCCUACGGGAGGCAGCAGUGGGGAAUAUUGGACAAUGGGCGCAAGCCUGAUCCAGCCAUACCGCGUGGGUGAAGAAGGCCUUCGGGUUGUAAAGCCCUUUUGUUGGGAGAGAAAAGCAGCAGGUUAAUACCCCGCUGUUCUGACGGUACCCAAAGAAUAAGCACCGGCUAACUUCGUG
This 492-nucleotide ribosomal RNA is filed under the name uncultured bacterium. RNAcentral's name for it is "partial 16S ribosomal RNA". It matches the Rfam family "Bacterial small subunit ribosomal RNA", at positions 29 to 507 of the family's 1533-position model. The record is from RNAcentral.